CCUACGGGAGGCAGCAGUGAGGAAUAUUGGUCAAUGGACGCAAGUCUGAACCAGCCAUGCCGCGUGCAGGAAGACGGCUCUAUGAGUUGUAAACUGCUUUUGUACGAGGGUAAACGCAGAUACGCGUAUCUGUCUGAAAGUAUCGUACGAAUAAGGAUCGGCUAACUCCGGGCCAGCAGCCGCGGUAAUACGGAGGAUUUAAGCGUUAUCCGGAUUUAUUGGGUUUAAAAGGUGCGUAGGCGGUCGGAUAAGUUAGAGGUGAAAUCCCGAGGCUAAACUUCGGAAUUGCCUCGGAUACUGUUCGGCUAGAGAGUAGUUGCGGUAGGCGGAAUGUAUGGUGUAGCUGUGAAAUGCUUAGAGAUCAUACAGAACACCGAUUGCGAAGGCAGCUUACCAAGCUACUUCUGACGUUGAGGCACGAAAGCGUGGGGAGCAAACAGGAUUAGAUACCCGAGUAGUC
This 460-nucleotide ribosomal RNA is filed under the name uncultured bacterium. RNAcentral describes it as "partial 16S ribosomal RNA". It matches the Rfam family "Bacterial small subunit ribosomal RNA", at positions 338 to 795 of the family's 1533-position model. The record is from RNAcentral.